This 2929-nucleotide ribosomal RNA is filed under the name Escherichia coli. RNAcentral's name for it is "23S ribosomal RNA". It matches the Rfam family "Bacterial large subunit ribosomal RNA". Lineage: Bacteria; Pseudomonadati; Pseudomonadota; Gammaproteobacteria; Enterobacterales; Enterobacteriaceae. The record is from RNAcentral.
GGGUUGUGAGGUUAAGCGACUAAGCGUACACGGUGGAUGCCCUGGCAGUCAGAGGCGAUGAAGGACGUGCUAAUCUGCGAUAAGCGUCGGUAAGGUGAUAUGAACCGUUAUAACCGGCGAUUUCCGAAUGGGGAAACCCAGUGUGUUUCGACACACUAUCAUUAACUGAAUCCAUAGGUUAAUGAGGCGAACCGGGGGAACUGAAACAUCUAAGUACCCCGAGGAAAAGAAAUCAACCGAGAUUCCCCCAGUAGCGGCGAGCGAACGGGGAGCAGCCCAGAGCCUGAAUCAGUGUGUGUGUUAGUGGAAGCGUCUGGAAAGGCGCGCGAUACAGGGUGACAGCCCCGUACACAAAAAUGCACAUGCUGUGAGCUCGAUGAGUAGGGCGGGACACGUGGUAUCCUGUCUGAAUAUGGGGGGACCAUCCUCCAAGGCUAAAUACUCCUGACUGACCGAUAGUGAACCAGUACCGUGAGGGAAAGGCGAAAAGAACCCCGGCGAGGGGAGUGAAAAAGAACCUGAAACCGUGUACGUACAAGCAGUGGGAGCACGCUUAGGCGUGUGACUGCGUACCUUUUGUAUAAUGGGUCAGCGACUUAUAUUCUGUAGCAAGGUUAACCGAAUAGGGGAGCCGAAGGGAAACCGAGUCUUAACUGGGCGUUAAGUUGCAGGGUAUAGACCCGAAACCCGGUGAUCUAGCCAUGGGCAGGUUGAAGGUUGGGUAACACUAACUGGAGGACCGAACCGACUAAUGUUGAAAAAUUAGCGGAUGACUUGUGGCUGGGGGUGAAAGGCCAAUCAAACCGGGAGAUAGCUGGUUCUCCCCGAAAGCUAUUUAGGUAGCGCCUCGUGAAUUCAUCUCCGGGGGUAGAGCACUGUUUCGGCAAGGGGGUCAUCCCGACUUACCAACCCGAUGCAAACUGCGAAUACCGGAGAAUGUUAUCACGGGAGACACACGGCGGGUGCUAACGUCCGUCGUGAAGAGGGAAACAACCCAGACCGCCAGCUAAGGUCCCAAAGUCAUGGUUAAGUGGGAAACGAUGUGGGAAGGCCCAGACAGCCAGGAUGUUGGCUUAGAAGCAGCCAUCAUUUAAAGAAAGCGUAAUAGCUCACUGGUCGAGUCGGCCUGCGCGGAAGAUGUAACGGGGCUAAACCAUGCACCGAAGCUGCGGCAGCGACACUAUGUGUUGUUGGGUAGGGGAGCGUUCUGUAAGCCUGUGAAGGUGUGCUGUGAGGCAUGCUGGAGGUAUCAGAAGUGCGAAUGCUGACAUAAGUAACGAUAAAGCGGGUGAAAAGCCCGCUCGCCGGAAGACCAAGGGUUCCUGUCCAACGUUAAUCGGGGCAGGGUGAGUCGACCCCUAAGGCGAGGCCGAAAGGCGUAGUCGAUGGGAAACAGGUUAAUAUUCCUGUACUUGGUGUUACUGCGAAGGGGGGACGGAGAAGGCUAUGUUGGCCGGGCGACGGUUGUCCCGGUUUAAGCGUGUAGGCUGGUUUUCCAGGCAAAUCCGGAAAAUCAAGGCUGAGGCGUGAUGACGAGGCACUACGGUGCUGAAGCAACAAAUGCCCUGCUUCCAGGAAAAGCCUCUAAGCAUCAGGUAACAUCAAAUCGUACCCCAAACCGACACAGGUGGUCAGGUAGAGAAUACCAAGGCGCUUGAGAGAACUCGGGUGAAGGAACUAGGCAAAAUGGUGCCGUAACUUCGGGAGAAGGCACGCUGAUAUGUAGGUGAGGUCCCUCGCGGAUGGAGCUGAAAUCAGUCGAAGAUACCAGCUGGCUGCAACUGUUUAUUAAAAACACAGCACUGUGCAAACACGAAAGUGGACGUAUACGGUGUGACGCCUGCCCGGUGCCGGAAGGUUAAUUGAUGGGGUUAGCGCAAGCGAAGCUCUUGAUCGAAGCCCCGGUAAACGGCGGCCGUAACUAUAACGGUCCUAAGGUAGCGAAAUUCCUUGUCGGGUAAGUUCCGACCUGCACGAAUGGCGUAAUGAUGGCCAGGCUGUCUCCACCCGAGACUCAGUGAAAUUGAACUCGCUGUGAAGAUGCAGUGUACCCGCGGCAAGACGGAAAGACCCCGUGAACCUUUACUAUAGCUUGACACUGAACAUUGAGCCUUGAUGUGUAGGAUAGGUGGGAGGCUUUGAAGUGUGGACGCCAGUCUGCAUGGAGCCGACCUUGAAAUACCACCCUUUAAUGUUUGAUGUUCUAACGUUGACCCGUAAUCCGGGUUGCGGACAGUGUCUGGUGGGUAGUUUGACUGGGGCGGUCUCCUCCUAAAGAGUAACGGAGGAGCACGAAGGUUGGCUAAUCCUGGUCGGACAUCAGGAGGUUAGUGCAAUGGCAUAAGCCAGCUUGACUGCGAGCGUGACGGCGCGAGCAGGUGCGAAAGCAGGUCAUAGUGAUCCGGUGGUUCUGAAUGGAAGGGCCAUCGCUCAACGGAUAAAAGGUACUCCGGGGAUAACAGGCUGAUACCGCCCAAGAGUUCAUAUCGACGGCGGUGUUUGGCACCUCGAUGUCGGCUCAUCACAUCCUGGGGCUGAAGUAGGUCCCAAGGGUAUGGCUGUUCGCCAUUUAAAGUGGUACGCGAGCUGGGUUUAGAACGUCGUGAGACAGUUCGGUCCCUAUCUGCCGUGGGCGCUGGAGAACUGAGGGGGGCUGCUCCUAGUACGAGAGGACCGGAGUGGACGCAUCACUGGUGUUCGGGUUGUCAUGCCAAUGGCACUGCCCGGUAGCUAAAUGCGGAAGAGAUAAGUGCUGAAAGCAUCUAAGCACGAAACUUGCCCCGAGAUGAGUUCUCCCUGACCCUUUAAGGGUCCUGAAGGAACGUUGAAGACGACGACGUUGAUAGGCCGGGUGUGUAAGCGCAGCGAUGCGUUGAGCUAACCGGUACUAAUGAACCGUGAGGCUUAACCUUACAACGCCGAAGCUGUU